GAUGAAGAACGUAGCGAAAUGCGAUAAGUAGUGUGAAUUGCAGAAUUCAGUGAAUCAUCGAAUCUUUGAACGCACAUUGCGCCCCCUGGUAUUCCGGGGGGCAUGCCUGUUCCAGCGUCAUUUCACCACUCAAGCCUCGCUUGGUAUUGGGCAUCGCGGUCCGCCGCGUGCCUCAAAUCGACCGGCUGGGUCUUCUGUCCCCUAAGCGUUGUGGAAACUAUUCGCUAAAGGGUGUUCGGGAGGCUACGCCGUAAAACAACCCCAUUUCUAAGGUUGACCUCGGAUCAGGUAGGGAUACCCGCUGAACUUAAGCAUAUCAAUAAGCGGAGGA
This 331-nucleotide unclassified non-coding RNA is filed under the name soil metagenome. RNAcentral describes it as "partial contains 5.8S ribosomal RNA, internal transcribed spacer 2, and large subunit ribosomal RNA". The stretch from base 1 to 120 matches the Rfam family "5.8S ribosomal RNA", at positions 35 to 154 of the family's 154-position model. The record is from RNAcentral.